AAUAUAUAUAUAUAUAUAUAUUCACUUGUACCAUCACGUAGGACAAGUAAUCAACCCGUGGGUAUCACAAGGGAAGGUGAUGAUCAGCCUCCAUGGCUCUAUUCUUUUUCAGAUCCUCCAAUUAGCUCAAAGUUUAGCUUCCUCAGAAGAGAGGCCUCACCAACAGAACCUUUACUCAUAUAUCCGCUUUCUUUUAAGUAGGGUAGGAAAUAUGAUGAUGGACCCGAUGAGGAAGAGCAUCGACAAAGUUUUAAAAUCAUAAAGAUCCUUGACUGACUUGAGAUCCCCAAGAGCAAGGCCAGCCUGAUUAUUAUAAUAAAGCAGAAGCAGUGACAACAGUGCAAUAUUAGUACAAUUACAUAGCAUGCAGUAAAGAAUUAUUUAGGAAACCAAAACCAUCCCACCCUCUCAAUACAUGCACGCAGACACACAUGCGCUCGUGCACGCAACAUUUCAUCGAGUUAUUAAUGUCCUACAUGCCAAGAACCUAGCAGCCAUAUAUGGAAGUCCUUAUGAAGUUUUGUUAUGCGUUGCUAAUAGCAAAACUUGUAUGGAAUACGUCUAGUCUAACUCCUAAGGCUUUACCACCUUGCCUCAAAAGUCAAGAAAUCAACCACAUCACACAAAUCAGUUGUCAUGCAGACAACAGAAAAAACGAAAUUGAGCUUGACAGUGCUUGAGACUAUCAAAAACAAAGGGAGCAUGAUAAUAAGCUGCAACUGACAAAGCUGAUGCAGCAGAAGCUCUGAUCAUAUGAAGACCAUUGCAUGCAGUUCAUUAGAAAGAGAACUUUUAACUGUCUUGCUUGUUUGGUGAUCUACACCAACCCUUUUAUUGUAACAGUCCAAGGAAAUUACAAAAGAAGAAAUGGACUUGUAAAUUAGAAACUACAUUAUUAAUCGUUUGUAUGAAUUAUCUCCAGGAAUCUACUUGAGCAACAGUUUAAUAUAUGGAUCAAGUAAAAACCCACUUGUUAGGAAAAAAAUAAAAAAAGUCCAGUACAUUAUUCUGCAUACUUAACAUGGCCCUUAGCUAUGAUAUGAUGCGUAUAGCAUCGUCAUUUUGGGAAAUAAAAAAGGCUCUUGUAAGCCCCCAAAGUAAAGGCUAAGGCUCAAUUGAGCCCCCAUACAAAUUUUGGAUCCGUCAAACCCCUUUAUUCUCAAAACUCAACAGUUACAUCCAUAAAUUAAUAGCGUUAAUUGCACUGUUAAUGAAAUGAGUAAAGUCAUUUUGUGGUAUCUGAAAAUAAAUAAAAUAUUAUUAAAAUAAAAACCCAGAUUUUCCAUCUCUCUUGGUAAUCAAACACUAAAGACCCAGAUUUUUCAACACA
This 1330-nucleotide unclassified non-coding RNA is filed under the name Hevea brasiliensis (rubber tree). The record is from RNAcentral. Lineage: Eukaryota; Viridiplantae; Streptophyta; Magnoliopsida; Malpighiales; Euphorbiaceae.